RNAcentral lists this long non-coding RNA (1032 nucleotides) under Strigops habroptila (Kakapo). Its description in RNAcentral is "lncRNA (ENSSHBG00005013914.1)". Lineage: Eukaryota; Metazoa; Chordata; Aves; Psittaciformes; Psittacidae. The record is from RNAcentral.
UUUAAAAUGCACUAUGCUUUUAGUAAUGAAAAGGAUCUAUGGUUAAAAAACAGUUAAACCAUUUAUAUAUAUACGUAUUUAAUUAUUUAUUAAAUUCCCAUGAUCUUGUAAGGUCCCUGUUGUGGCUGCUUGGGCUGUAUUUGUUGCCAGCCACUGUGUAAUUUCUGCCUUCUGGUUUUAAACUAAAUUAAGAUGCUGGGAAGUAAAAACAAGAACGUCAAGAUGGGUUCUGAAACUGCCUCUAUUUUGUUUUUAACUGUAGUCAUAAUUUAAGUAUCUAUGAAAUGGAAAAAAAGAGGAAAUUAUAUUACCUUAUUAAGAGACAACGUCUCUUCAGCUCGUUUAACAUGGAAUUUUGAGGCUUGACAGAAUAAUUGAUUCAGGUGUCUAGUAAUAGUUCAGUGCAGUCUUUCACUUCUAGGUGACAUAGAUGAAUCAAACCUAGAUCCAUUGUAAUCUCCAGUUUUUGCAGUUUCAAGGCUACUUGAUCAUCUUAGUUCAGAUCCUUUUAUUCAAAUAACUUCUGGCAGCAGCAUUGACUAAUGAAAAUGUAUCAGGCCUGCUGGUUUCUGCAAAUCAAACCUGAGGUACUGGAGACAGGAGUAAGUGAAGAAGCCUGGUUUUUUACAGGCUGUAUUUUACCAAGAAAAUUAUGAAUGUUAUGGGAUUUUAUGUAAGUGUACAUGAGCAAAAGAGACAAAGAUAGAAACAGAGAUGGUACGUUGGGAUGUUGAAGCAGAGGACAGAAGACUGAGAAACCAUAAAAGUGAUGUGAAAGUUGAAUUUGAAAGGGAUGACAGAGGUUAAAAUCAAAUGCAUUAAAGGACAAUGAGAGGGUUGUAGUGAGUGGUAAAGCCAGUGGGAGAUAAGACUGUUACGGAGUUCAUUUGAGAGACCUUGACAAAACCACAGAGAAGGCAGAGAAGCAAGUUUUGGAAGACCAAGUAGAACUGGAAUCAGCUAGGAUACUGUCAAGGGUGGUUUAGAGUAAAACAAGUUGUUUUCAAAGGAACAUAACAAUAGAUAGGAAAA